AGCGCAGGCAGACCGGCAAGUUGGAAGUGAAAACUAUGGGCUCAACCCAUAAAUUGCUUUCAAAACUGCUGGCCUUGAGUAGUGCAGAGGUAGGUGGAAUUCCCGGUGUAGCGGUGGAAUGCGUAGAUAUCGGGAGGAACACCAGUGGCGAAGGCGACCUACUGGGCACCAACUGACGCUGAGGCUCGAAAGCAUGGGUAGCAAACA
Molecule: ribosomal RNA, 207 nt
Filed under: uncultured bacterium
Lineage: Bacteria
Description: partial 16S ribosomal RNA
Rfam family: Bacterial small subunit ribosomal RNA
Source: RNAcentral